This 876-nucleotide ribosomal RNA is filed under the name uncultured organism. RNAcentral describes it as "bacterial SSU rRNA". It matches the Rfam family "Bacterial small subunit ribosomal RNA", at positions 38 to 914 of the family's 1533-position model. The record is from RNAcentral.
AGCGGCAGGCUUACACAUGCAAGUCGAGGGGUAAGGUCCCGCUUGCGGGAUACACGACCGGCGCACGGGUGCGUAACGCGUAUGCAACCUGCCUCUGACCGGAGGAUAGCCUCGAGAAAUCGGGAUUAAUACUCCAUAACAUCUAACUACCGCAUGGUAGAAUGAUUAAAACUCCGGUGGUCAGAGAUGGGCAUGCGUGGCAUUAGCUAGUUGGUGAGGUAACGGCUCACCAAGGCAACGAUGCCUAGGGGGUCUUGAGAGGACGAUCCCCCACACUGGUACUGAGACACGGACCAGACUCCUACGGGAGGCAGCAGUGAGGAAUAUUGGUCAAUGGGCGCAAGCCUGAACCAGCCAUGCCGCGUGCAGGAUGACGGCUCUAGAAGUUGUAAACUGCUUUUGUAUGGGAAUAAACUGUCCGGUUCUCCGGGCAUUGAAGGUACCAUACGAAUAAGGAUCGGCUAACUCCGUGCCAGCAGCCGCGGUAAUACGGAGGAUCCAAGCGUUAUCCGGAUUUAUUGGGUUUAAAGGGUGUGCAGGCGGAGUAAUAAGUCAGUGGUGAAAUCUUGCGGCUCAACCGUAAAAUUGCCAUUGAUACUGUUAUUCUUGAGUUCAGUUGAGGUGGGCGGAAUGAGUAAUGUAGCGGUGAAAUGCUUAGAUAUUACUCAGAACACCGAUUGCGUAGGCAGCUCGCUAAACUGUAACUGACGCUGAGGCACGAAAGCGUGGGGAGCGAACAGGAUUAGAUACCCUGGUAGUCCACGCCGUAAACUAUGAAUACUGGAUGUGUGCGAUACACUGUACGCGUCUGAGCGAAAGCAUUAAGUAUUCCACCUGGGGAGUACGUCCGCAAGGAUGAAACUCAAAGGAAUUGAC